AGAAUGAACGCUGGCGGCAUGCCUAACACAUGCAAGUCGAACGAGAUCCUUCGGGGUCUAGUGGCGCACGGGUGCGUAACGCGUGGGAAUCUACCCUUGGGUUCGGAAUAACAGUGAGAAAUUACUGCUAAUACCGGAUAAUGUCGCAAGACCAAAGAUUUAUUGCCCAAGGAUGAGCCCGCGUAAGAUUAGCUAGUUGGUGGGGUAAAAGCCUACCAAGGCGACGAUCUUUAGCUGGUCUGAGAGGAUGAUCAGCCACACUGGGACUGAGACACGGCCCAGACUCCUACGGGAGGCAGCAGUGGGGAAUAUUGGACAAUGGGCGAAAGCCUGAUCCAGCAAUGCCGCGUGAGUGAUGAAGGCCUUAGGUUGUAAAGCUCUUUACCCGGGAAGAUAAUGACUGUACCGGGAGAAUAAGCCCGGCUAACUCCGUGCCAGCAGCCGC
Molecule: ribosomal RNA, 445 nt
Filed under: uncultured bacterium
Lineage: Bacteria
Description: SSU rRNA
Rfam family: Bacterial small subunit ribosomal RNA
Source: RNAcentral